RNAcentral lists this ribosomal RNA (441 nucleotides) under uncultured bacterium. RNAcentral's name for it is "bacterial SSU rRNA". It matches the Rfam family "Bacterial small subunit ribosomal RNA", at positions 97 to 520 of the family's 1533-position model. The record is from RNAcentral.
GGCGAACGGGUUAGCAAUACAGUCGGAACGUGUCCUGUAGCGGGGUGUACAACCUUCAAGAAAUCGAUGGCUAAUAUCCGUCAUACGAUCUUCGGCAUGAAUAGUGGCGGGACCGCUAAGGCCCACACUAUAGGAUGCGGCGAUGUCCGGAUUAAGCUAUGUUGGUGGGGUAAUGGCCUACCAAGGCGACGCAUCCCGUAGCUGGUUUUGAUGAGAACGGUACCAGCCAGACUUGGGACUGAGACAGGUCCAACACUCAAAGGGAGGCAGCGUGGGAAUUGGACAUGGGCGAAGCCUGAUCCAGCCAUGCCGCGUGAGUGAAGAAGGCCUUCGGGUUGUAAAGCUCUUUCGGCGGGGACGAAAUUGCGCGGGGUAACAUCCCGCGUAGAUGACGGUACCCGAAGAAGAAGGACCGGCUAAACUACGUGCCAGCAGCCGCGG